Saitozyma podzolica is the source of this 99-nucleotide non-coding RNA. The record is from the annotation of a GenBank genome assembly. Lineage: Eukaryota; Fungi; Basidiomycota; Tremellomycetes; Tremellales; Trimorphomycetaceae.
GUUCAGGUAGCACAGUGGUAGUGGCGGGAGAUUGCAAUAAGGUUUGGUUCGUCCGCCUAACACAUCUCCAGGUCAUGGGUUCGAAACCCAUCCUGAACU